GACGAACGCUGGCGGCGUGCUUAACACAUGCAAGUCGAACGGAAAGGCCCUUCGGGGUACUCGAGUGGCGAACGGGUGAGUAACACGUGGGUGAUCUGCCCUGCACUUUGGGAUAAGCCUGGGAAACUGGGUCUAAUACCGAAUAUGAUCAUCAGCUUCAUGGUUGGUGGUGGAAAGCUUUUGCGGUGUGGGAUGGGCCCGCGGCCUAUCAGCUUGUUGGUGGGGUAAUGGCCUACCAAGGCGACGACGGGUAGCCGGCCUGAGAGGGUGACCGGCCACACGGGGACUGAGAUACGGCCCAGACUCCUACGGGAGGCAGCAGUGGGGAAUAUUGCACAAUGGGCGCAAGCCUGAUGCAGCGACGCCGCGUGAGGGAUGACGGCCUUCGGGUUGUAAACCUCUUUCAGCACAGACGAAGCGCAAGUGACGGUAUGUGCAGAGGAAGGACCGGCCAACUACGUGCCAGCCGCCGCAGUAA
This 478-nucleotide ribosomal RNA is filed under the name uncultured bacterium. Its description in RNAcentral is "partial 16S ribosomal RNA". It matches the Rfam family "Bacterial small subunit ribosomal RNA", at positions 28 to 523 of the family's 1533-position model. The record is from RNAcentral.